UACUUGGAUAACCGUGGUUAAUUCUAGAGCUAAUACAUGCUAAAAACCCCGACUUCGGAAGGGGUGUAUUUAUUAGAUAAAAAACCAAUGCCCUUCGGGGCUCUUUGGUGAUUCAUGAUAACUUAACGAAUCGCAUGGCCUUGCGCCGGCGAUGGUUCAUUCAAAUUUCUGCCCUAUUAACUUUCGAUGGUAGGAUAGAGGCCUACCAUGGUAUCAAUGGGUAACGGGGAAUUAGGGUUCUAUUCCGGAGAGGGAGCCUGAGAAACGGCUACCACAUCCAAGGAAGGCAGCAGGCGCGCAAAUUACCCAAUCCCGACACGGGGAGGUAGUGACAAUAAAUACUGAUACAGGGCUCUUUUGGGUCUUGUAAUUGGAAUGAGUACAAUUUAAAUACCUUAACGAGGAACAAUUGGAGGGCAAGUCUGGUGCCAGCAGCCGCGGUAAUUCCAGCUCCAAUAGCGUAUAUUAAAGUUGUUGCAGUUAAAAAGCUCGUAGUUGAACCUUGGGCCUGGCUGGCCGGUCCGCCUCACCGCGUGUACUGGUCCGGCCGGGCCUUUCCUUCUGGGGAUCCGCAUGGCCUUCACUGGCUGUGUCGGGGAACCAGGACUUUUACUUUGAAAAAAUUAGAGUGUUCAAAGCAGGCCUUUGCUCGAAUACAUUAGCAUGGAAUAAUAGAAUAGGACGUGCGGUCCUAUUUUGUUGGUUUCUAGGACCGCCGUAAUGAUUAAUAGGGAUAGUCGGGGGCAUCAGUAUUCAAUUGUCAGAGGUGAAAUUCUUGGAUUUAUUGAAGACUAACUACUGCGAAAGCAUUUGCCAAGGAUGUUUUCAUUAAUCAGUGAACGAAAGUUAAGGGGAUCGAAGACGAUCAGAUACCGUCGUAGUCUUAACCGUAAACUAUGCCGACUAGGGAUCGGGCGAUGUUAUUCUUUUGACUCGCUCGGCACCUUAACGAGAAAUCAAAGUCUUUGG
Molecule: ribosomal RNA, 969 nt
Filed under: Botryosphaeria dothidea
Lineage: Eukaryota; Fungi; Ascomycota; Dothideomycetes; Botryosphaeriales; Botryosphaeriaceae
Description: SSU rRNA
Rfam family: Eukaryotic small subunit ribosomal RNA
Source: RNAcentral